UACGGAGGGUGCAAGCGUUGUCCGGAAUUACUGGGCUUAAAGGGUGCGUAGGCUGCGCAGAAAGUUGGGUGUGAAAUCCCUCGGCUCAACCGAGGAACUGCGCCCAAAACUACUGUGCUCGAGGAAGACAGAGGUGAGCGGAACUUAGGGUGGAGCGGUGAAAUGCGUUGAUAUCCUAAGGAACACCCGUGGCGAAAGCGGCUCACUGGGUCUUUUCUGACGCUGAGGCACGAAAGCUAGGGUAGCGAACGGG
This 253-nucleotide ribosomal RNA is filed under the name uncultured bacterium. RNAcentral describes it as "partial 16S ribosomal RNA". It matches the Rfam family "Bacterial small subunit ribosomal RNA", at positions 524 to 776 of the family's 1533-position model. The record is from RNAcentral.